AUGACGACCACUUUAUGGGCUAUAUGGGCGGCAAGAAGAAAGGCGAUUUAUGAAGAUAUAUUUCAGAGCCCAUACUCCACUCAUUGCUUUGUCAAUUCCUUCCUGAAUGACAUCCAACUUGUCAAGCAACCAGAGAGAACAGCAGUGCAUCCAGUGCAGGUGAGGCCAACAUGUUGGAUCAAACCUCCCCCAGGCUUGAUGAAAGUGAAUGUUGAUGCGGCCACUAUGAGAAGAUCGAGAUUUGGGGCAAUUGUUGCGGUGUGCAGGAAUGACGAGGGUUUGUAUCUUGGUGCGCCGGCUAUAGUUUUUAAUGGCAUUCGUGACCCAGCCACCCUCGAGGCUUUGGCAGUCCGGGAAGCAAUGGCACUUGCAGAAGAUCUCCAUAUACACGCAAUACACGUUGCAACGGACUGCAAAGGUGUGGUGGAAGAUAUCAAGCGAAAAACAGUCCUACCUAUGGGGCUAUUAUACAUGAGAUAG
This 480-nucleotide ribosomal RNA is filed under the name Triticum aestivum (bread wheat). RNAcentral's name for it is "partial small subunit ribosomal RNA". The record is from RNAcentral. Lineage: Eukaryota; Viridiplantae; Streptophyta; Magnoliopsida; Poales; Poaceae.